CAGCUCAAAUUUGAAAUCUGGCUUUCGGGCCCGAGUUGUAAUUUGUAGAGGAUACUUUUGAUGCGGUGCCUUCCGAGUUCCCUGGAACGGGACGCCAUAGAGGGUGAGAGCCCCGUCUGGUUGGAUGCCAAAUCUCUGUAAAGUUCCUUCGACGAGUCGAGUAGUUUGGGAAUGCUGCUCUAAAUGGGAGGUAUAUGUCUUCUAAAGCUAAAUAUUGGCCAGAGACCGAUAGCGCACAAGUAGAGUGAUCGAAAGAUGAAAAGCACUUUGAAAAGAGAGUUAAAAAGUACGUGAAAUUGUUGAAAGGGAAGCGUUUAUGACCAGACUUGGACUUGGUUAAUCAUCUGGGGUUCUCUCCAGUGCACUUUUCCAGUUCAGGCCAGCAUCAGUUUUCGCCGGGGGAUAAAGGCAGCGGGAAUGUGGCUCUCUUCGGGGAGUGUUAUAGCCCGCUGUGUAAUACCCUGGUGGGGACUGAGGUUCGCGCUUCUGCAAGGAUGCUGGCGUAAUGGUCAUCAACGACCCGUCUUGAAACACGGACCAAGGAGUCGUCUUCGUAUGCGAGUGUUCGGGUGUCAAACCCCUACGCGUAAUGAAAGUGAACGCAGGUGAGAGCUUCGGCGCAUCAUCGACCGAUCCUGAUGUUCUCGGAUGGAUUUGAGUAAGAGCAUACGGGGCCGGACCCGAAAGAAGGUGAACUAUGCCUGUAUAGGGUGAAGCCAGAGGAAACUCUGGUGGAGGCUCGCAGCGGUUCUGACGUGCAAAUCGAUCGUCAAAUAUGGGCAUGGGGGCGAAAGACUAAUCGAACCUUCUAGUAGCUGGUUUCCGCCGAAGUUUCCCUCAGGAUAGCAGUGUUGAACUCAGUUUUAUGAGGUAAAGCGAAUGAUUAGGGACUCGGGGGCGCUAUAUUGCCUUCAUCCAUUCUCAAACUUUAAAUAUGUAAGAAGCCCUUGUUGCUUAAUUGAACGUGGGCAUUCGAAUGUAUCAACACUAGUGGGCCAUUUUUGGUAAGCAGAACUGGCGAUGCGGGAUGAACCGAACG
RNAcentral lists this ribosomal RNA (1039 nucleotides) under Fusarium sp. RNAcentral's name for it is "eukaryotic LSU rRNA". It matches the Rfam family "Eukaryotic large subunit ribosomal RNA", at positions 104 to 1174 of the family's 3401-position model. The record is from RNAcentral. Lineage: Eukaryota; Fungi; Ascomycota; Sordariomycetes; Hypocreales; Nectriaceae.